This 254-nucleotide ribosomal RNA is filed under the name uncultured bacterium. RNAcentral describes it as "partial 16S ribosomal RNA". It matches the Rfam family "Bacterial small subunit ribosomal RNA", at positions 524 to 776 of the family's 1533-position model. The record is from RNAcentral.
CACGUAGGGUGCGAGCGUUGUCCGGAAUUAUUGGGCGUAAAGAGCUCGUAGGCGGUGUGUCGCGUCGGCCGUGAAAACCUGCAGCUUAACUGUGGGCUUGCGGACGAUACGGGCAUCACUGGAGUUCGGCAGGGGAGACUGGAAUUCCUGGUGUAGCGGUGAAAUGCGCAGAUAUCAGGAGGAACACCGGUGGCGAAGGCGGGUCUCUGGGCCGAUACUGACGCUGAGGAGCGAAAGCGUGGGGAGCAAACAGG